GACGAACGCUGGCGGCGUGCUUAACACAUGCAAGUCGAACGGAAAGGCCCUGCUUUUGUGGGGUGCUCGAGUGGCGAACGGGUGAGUAACACGUGAGUAACCUGCCCUUGACUUUGGGAUAACUUCAGGAAACUGGGGCUAAUACCGGAUAGGAGCUCCUGCUGCAUGGUGGGGGUUGGAAAGUUUCGGCGGUUGGGGAUGGACUCGCGGCUUAUCAGCUUGUUGGUGGGGUAGUGGCUUACCAAGGCUUUGACGGGUAGCCGGCCUGAGAGGGUGACCGGCCACAUUGGGACUGAGAUACGGCCCAUACUCCUACGGGAGGCAGAAGUGGGGAAUAUUGCACAAUGGGCGGAAGCCUGAUGCAGCAACGCCGCGUGCGGGAUGACGGCCUUCGGGUUGUAAACCGCUUUCGCCUGUGACGAAGCGUGAGUGACGGUAAUGGGUAAAGAAGCACCGGCUAACUACGUG
Molecule: ribosomal RNA, 468 nt
Filed under: uncultured bacterium
Lineage: Bacteria
Description: partial 16S ribosomal RNA
Rfam family: Bacterial small subunit ribosomal RNA
Source: RNAcentral